This 502-nucleotide ribosomal RNA is filed under the name uncultured bacterium. RNAcentral describes it as "bacterial SSU rRNA". It matches the Rfam family "Bacterial small subunit ribosomal RNA", at positions 773 to 1268 of the family's 1533-position model. The record is from RNAcentral.
AGGGAAUAGAUACCCGGUAGUCCUGGCAGUAAACGGUGCACGUUUGGUGUGGCGCAACUCGACCGGCGUCCGCGCCGGAAGCUAAACGCGUUAAACGUGCCGCCGUGGGAAGUACGGUCGCAAGAUUAAAACUCAAAGAAAUUGACGGGGACCCGCACAAGCGGUGGAGUAUGUGGCUUAAUUCGAUGCAACGCGAAGAACCUUACCUGGUCUUGACAUGCAUUGUGUCUCCGGUGAAAGCCGGAUAGGGCAGCAAUGCCCGCUUUGCACAGGUGCUGCAGGGCUGUCGUCAGCUCGUGUCGUGAGAUGUUGGGUUAAGUCCCGCAACGAGCGCAACCCCUGUGAUUUGUUGCCACCGGCUUAUGCCGAGCACUCGAAUCAGACUGCCUCGAUCAACGAGGAGGAAGGUGGGGAUGACGUCAAGUCCGUAUGGCCUUACGACCAGGGCUGCACACGUACUACAAUGCUCAGCACAAUGUGAACCGAUGCCGCGAGGUGGAGG